CAGGCCUAACACAUGCAAGUCGAGCGAGAAAGCUCUUCGGGAGUAAGUAAAGCGGCGAACGGGUGAGUAACACGUGAGAAUCUACCCUUUAGUGAAGAAUACCUCCGAGAAAUCGGUGUUAAUACUGCGUACGUCUCCGGGGAGAAAGAUGGCCUCUUUGCUAUCGCUAAAGGAUGAGCUUGCGUACUAUUAGUUAGUUGGUGAGGUAAUGGCUCACCAAGACAAUGAUGGUUAACCGGCCUGAGAGGGUGUUCGGUCACACUGGAACUUAGACACGGUCCAGACUCUACGGGAGGCAGCAGUGAGGAAUCUUGCACAAUGGGCGAAAGCCUGAUGCAGCGACGCCGCGUGGAGGAUGACGGUCUUCGGAUUGUAAACUCCUGUUAAACGGGAAGAAAGAUCUGUUUCUAAUACAAGCAGAUUAUGACGGUACCGUUAGAGAAAGCACCGGCUAACUUCGUGCCAGCAGCCGCGGUAAU
Molecule: ribosomal RNA, 479 nt
Filed under: uncultured delta proteobacterium
Lineage: Bacteria; Deltaproteobacteria
Description: bacterial SSU rRNA
Rfam family: Bacterial small subunit ribosomal RNA
Source: RNAcentral